CCUACGGGGGGCAGCAGUCGAGAAUCAUUCACAAUGGGGGAAACCCUGAUGGUGCGACGCCGCGUGGGGGAAUGAAGGUCUUCGGAUUGUAAACCCCUGUCAUGUGGGAGCAAAUUAAAAAGAUAGUACCACAAGAGGAAGAGACGGCUAACUCUGUGCCAGCAGCAGCGGGAAUACAGAGGUCUAAAGCGUUGUUCGGAAUCACUGGGCGUAAAGCGUUCGUAGGCUGUUUCGUAAGUCGUGUGUGAAAGGCGCGGGCUCAACCCGCGGACGGCACAUGAUACUGCGAGACUAGAGUAAUGGAGGGGGAACCGGAAUUCUCGGUGUAGCAGUGAAAUGCGUAGAUAUCGAGAGGAACACUCGUGGCGAAGGCGGGUUCCUGGACAUUAACUGACGCUGAGGCACGAAGGCCAGGGGAGCGAAAGGGAUUAGAUACCCCAGUAGUC
This 446-nucleotide ribosomal RNA is filed under the name uncultured bacterium. RNAcentral's name for it is "partial 16S ribosomal RNA". It matches the Rfam family "Bacterial small subunit ribosomal RNA", at positions 338 to 795 of the family's 1533-position model. The record is from RNAcentral.